UCCAGACUCCUACGGGAGGCAGCAGUGAGGAAUAUUGGUCAAUGGCCGAGAGGCUGAACCAGCCAAGUCGCGUGAGGGAAGAAUGUCCUAUGGAUUGUAAACCUCUUUUGUCAGGGAGCAAAGUCACCCACGUGUGGGUGUUGGAGAGUACCUGAAGAAAAAGCAUCGGCUAACUCCGUGCCAGCAGCCGCGGUAAUACGGAGGAUGCGAGCGUUAUCCGGAUUUAUUGGGUUUAAAGGGUGCGUAGGCGGAUUUUUAAGUCAGCGGUAAAAUGUCCGGGCUCAACCCGGGCCGGCCGUUGAAACUGGGGAUCUUGAGUGGGCGAGAAGUAUGCGGAAUGCGUGGUGUAGCGGUGAAAUGCAUAGAUAUCACGCAGAACUCCGAUUGCGAAGGCAGCAUACCGGCGCCCAACUGACGCUCAGGCACGAAAGCGUGGGUAUCGAACAGGAUUAGAUACCCCGGUA
RNAcentral lists this ribosomal RNA (464 nucleotides) under uncultured bacterium. RNAcentral describes it as "bacterial SSU rRNA". It matches the Rfam family "Bacterial small subunit ribosomal RNA", at positions 330 to 792 of the family's 1533-position model. The record is from RNAcentral.